This 468-nucleotide ribosomal RNA is filed under the name uncultured bacterium. RNAcentral describes it as "partial 16S ribosomal RNA". It matches the Rfam family "Bacterial small subunit ribosomal RNA", at positions 28 to 507 of the family's 1533-position model. The record is from RNAcentral.
GACGAACGCUGGCGGCGUGCUUAACACAUGCAAGUCGAACGGAAAGGCCCUGCUUUUGUGGGGUGCUCGAGUGGCGAACGGGUGAGUAACACGUGAGUAACCUGCCCUUGACUUUGGGAUAACUUCAGGAAACUGGGGCUAAUACCGGAUAGGAGCUCCUGCUGCAUGGUGGGGGUUGGAAAGUUUCGGCGGUUGGGGAUGGACUCGCGGCUUAUCAGCUUGUUGGUGGGGUAGUGGCUUACCAAGGCUUUGACGGGUAGCCGGCCUGAGAGGGUGACCGGCCACAAUGGGACUGAGAGACGGCCCAGAAUCCAACGGGAGGCAGCAGUGGGGAAUAUUGCACAAUGGGCGGAAGCCUGAUGCAGCAACGCCGCGUGCGGGAUGACGGCCUUCGGGUUGUAAACCGCUUUCGCCUGUGACGAAGCGUGAGUGACGGUAAUGGGUAAAGAAGCACCGGCUAACUACGUG